GCCGAAAGUGUGAAGCCAGGUAUUGGACUUUUACAGUAUUUGUUUCAUUUUUCAAUACUGUUAUACACAAGGCUGUAGUUAACUACAAGAACUAGUAAUCACAGUAAGUUUUGAUAUGUUUCAAAUAUGAUUCAGGAAUGGCUCUCUAUGACCUGCAAGAUAACCUUUUUUCUUUUUUAAUCUAGAAAGCCUUUUAAUGGUCUUCUCUGAUUUAUAGCACAUCUUGAAUUGAGUUGAUUACUUAUCCUUGUGCCACGCAAACUAAAUGUAAUAGUGACAUUGCUAAUUUCAUUACUCUUCCCAAGAUUUGUCUCCAUAUGACUA
This 324-nucleotide unclassified non-coding RNA is filed under the name Hevea brasiliensis (rubber tree). Lineage: Eukaryota; Viridiplantae; Streptophyta; Magnoliopsida; Malpighiales; Euphorbiaceae. The record is from RNAcentral.